GAUGAACGCUAGCGGCAGGCCUAAUACAUGCAAGUCGAGGGAGAAUGUUGGAUUCGUCUGACAUGAAACCGGCGCACGGGUGCGUAACACGUAUGCAACCUACCUUUAACUGGGGUAUAGCUCAGAGAAAUCUGAAUUAAUCCCCCAUAAGACUACGACAUGGCAUCAUGAUGUAGUUAAAGCUCCGGCGGUUAAGGAUGGGCAUGCGGUACAUUAGCUAGUUGGUGAGGUAAUGGCUCACCAAGGCUACGAUGUAUAGGGGGUCUGAGAGGAGGAUCCCCCACACUGGUAAUGAGACACGGGCCAGACUCCUACGGGAGGCAGCAGUAGGGAAUAUUGGUCAAUGGACGCAAGUCUGAACCAGCCAUGCCGCGUGAAGGAUGAAGGCCCUAUGGGUCGUAAACUUCUUUUAUUAGGGAAGAAAAAACGGGAUGCGUCCUGCACUGACGGUACUUAAUGAAUAAGGAUCGGCUAACUUCGUGCCAGCCGCCGCGGUAA
Molecule: ribosomal RNA, 498 nt
Filed under: uncultured bacterium
Lineage: Bacteria
Description: partial 16S ribosomal RNA
Rfam family: Bacterial small subunit ribosomal RNA
Source: RNAcentral